RNAcentral lists this long non-coding RNA (1639 nucleotides) under Cyanistes caeruleus (blue tit). RNAcentral's name for it is "lncRNA (ENSCCEG00000008600.1)". Lineage: Eukaryota; Metazoa; Chordata; Aves; Passeriformes; Paridae. The record is from RNAcentral.
GCUUAACAGUAACCCAGAAAGUGUUUGUGGCCUCCAGCCCUGUUCCUUUUCUCCUCAGCUGCCAUCACUGUCCUGCUCCUCAGUGGUUCUGACUGGAUUGUGUUUAAACCAUAUCUCCACUGAGUAUCACCAGUGAGCUGAGGACCAAGGCCUGGCAAAGCAAGAAAAAUUACCAGCAUGGAUUUGCUAAGAGAUCAAGGUCUGCAAGGACUUGUCCCUGAACUUCAGAAAGGGGUCACUUGCCAUGGAGCCACACCUAAAUAACUGGAUGAGCAGCCAAUUUUACAUCUGCACAGUAGCAAAAGAGAUAAAUCUUCCUGUCAUUAAACUUCUCUGCUGAAAAACCUCUCACCAAUGACACAGAGAAGGCAGCAGAGGGGUGAUUUUCUAGCUCUUCUGGACCUUCUUUCCCACCCUCCUGGAGCUACAAGUAUAAGCUUGACUGUCUCAUCUCCUUCAGUGCAACCAGAAUUCCAUGUCCAAAUCUUGACAGUCAAAUUGAAAACCUUGUGUCCUCUUCCCACUCCCAAAGUCAACAUGGCCCAUGAAACCUCACAGAAGGAGCAACUGGGAAUAAAAUUCUAUUUUGGGAGCCUCUCCCUCCAUCUGCAAUGGAUAACUUACUUUGCCAGAAUUUGAGAACAAAUACUUUUCCCUCCAAGAGCAUGGACACUCUUUGCAGGUAACAAUAUAUGGACCUGCUGGCAGGCAGCCAUAUAAAUGACUAUUGUAGCAGCAUCCCAUACAUCCCUUGUAAUAGAGGCUCUCAAAAAGGCCUUGUUUUUUACAUCAUUUCCCACCAUCUGACAUAAGAAUCAUUCCUGAUGCAAUUUUAACUAAACUAAUCUGUGUUUGGAGGCAAUUUUCUCCCUCAAAUAUUUCUGGGUGUUCCAUAACCAACACAAGCUGAUCAUUUGUCAUUCUCCACCAGAGAAGGUCACUGAUGACCAUUUUAGCACCUCUCAGUACUUAUCUCUCAUGAGGAAAUGAUGGUCCUCAUUGAAGGACUCAUUACUCAUUCAGUAAAAAAGUUUGCAUUAAGUUUCCAAGACAAAUUGUUCCAGAAUAUUGGUUUGCUAUUAGAUCACAGGAAAGAAAUGAUACCUAGUUGGACUUAGGAGCAUGCUGAGGUGCUGAGGAGCAGAACAAGGCUGAGAGAAACCAGGUUCUCCUGGAUCCAGAGCAGACAGAGCCAUCGAGUUCAUCUGCUAGGGUCUUUGUCACACCACUAGGAAUCAGGCCUUGGAAUAUGUUCUGUUUUUUCUAAACACUACAGGUAACAAGAAUAGACUAAUUCAGGAAUUCAGAAUUACCUGGUUUAUAGCAAGGAAACAGGGCAUGGCUGGAUUGGGUCCAUGUUUCUACCCCCAGCCAAAGCAUACCACACUCUUAGAGGAGAAUUUCUUGCUUCACAUCACUUGGUUGUCAAAAAGCACUAGAAAGGUUCCCAAGAGUGUUUGCUGUGGCCUCUACCUCUUGGGCCAUUACGUGGCAUGAACUCCUAGGAAUGUGAUUUCACAUUGCUACCCAGACCUUUAGAGCUACUUUGAGACCUACCUAGUCCUCAAGAGACAGAAUCCAGGUGGAGGGUUUGGAAGUAUCUGCAGCAAAACUGACACAGAAGGCACAGCUGCUGCGU